RNAcentral lists this ribosomal RNA (208 nucleotides) under uncultured bacterium. Its description in RNAcentral is "partial 16S ribosomal RNA". It matches the Rfam family "Bacterial small subunit ribosomal RNA", at positions 568 to 774 of the family's 1533-position model. The record is from RNAcentral.
CUCGUAGGCGGCUUGUUGCGUCGACUGUGAAAACCUGCGGCUCAACCGUGUGGUCUGCAGUCGAUACGGGCAGGCUGGAGUUCGGUAGGGGAGACUGGAAUUCCUGGUGUAGCGGUGAAAUGCGCAGAUAUCAGGAGGAACACCGGUGGCGAAGGCGGGUCUCUGGGCCGAUACUGACGCUGAGGAGCGAAAGCGUGGGGAGCGAACA